This 198-nucleotide ribosomal RNA is filed under the name uncultured bacterium. RNAcentral describes it as "partial 16S ribosomal RNA". It matches the Rfam family "Bacterial small subunit ribosomal RNA", at positions 328 to 539 of the family's 1533-position model. The record is from RNAcentral.
ACGCUCGACACCUACAGGAGGCAGCAGUGGGGAAUAUUGCACAAUGGGGGAAACCCUGAUGCAGCGACGCCGCGUGAGCGAAGAAGUAUCUCGGUAUGUAAAGCUCUAUCAGCAGGGAAGAAGAUGACGGUACCUGACUAAGAAGCACCGGCUAAAUACGUGCCGGCAGCCGCGGUAAUCUGAGCGGGCUGGCAAGGC